This 85-nucleotide transfer RNA is filed under the name Candidatus Parcubacteria bacterium. RNAcentral's name for it is "tRNA-Ser". It matches the Rfam family "tRNA". From Rfam's summary of the family: Transfer RNA (tRNA) molecules are approximately 80 nucleotides in length. Their secondary structure includes four short double-helical elements and three loops (D, anti-codon, and T loops). The record is from RNAcentral. Lineage: Bacteria; Candidatus Parcubacteria.
GGUGAGGUGGCCGAGCGGUCUAAGGCGCACGCUUGGAAAGCGUGUAUACCGAAAGGUAUCGCGGGUUCGAAUCCCGCCCUCACCG